AGCGAAUAGAUACCCGGGUAGUCCCAGCCGUAAACGAUGCUCGCUAGGUGUCAGGCAUGGCGCGACCGUGUCUGGUGCCGCAGGGAAGCCGUGAAGCGAGCCACCUGGGAAGUACGGCCGCAAGGCUGAAACUUAAAGGAAUUGGCGGGGAGCACAACAACGGGUGGAGCCUGCGGUUUAAUUGGACUCAACGCCGGACAACUCACCGGGGGCGACAGCAAUAUGUAGGCCGAGCUGAAGACUUUGCCUGAAUCGCUGAGAGGAGGUGCAUGGCCGUCGCCAGUUCGUACUGUGAAGCAUCCUGUUAAGUCAGGCAACGAGCGAGACCCGUGCCCACUGUUACCAGCAUGUCCUUUGGGAUGAUGGGUACUCUGUGGGGACCGCCGGUGUCAAAUCGGAGGAAGGUGCGGGCCACGGUAGGUCAGUAUGCCCCGAAUCUCCCGGGCUACACGCGGGCUACAAUGAAUGGGACAAUGGGUCCUUCCCUGAAAAGGGUUGGUAAUCUCACAAACCCAUCCUUAGUUCGGAUUGAGGGCUGUAAC
RNAcentral lists this ribosomal RNA (542 nucleotides) under uncultured bacterium. Its description in RNAcentral is "bacterial SSU rRNA". It matches the Rfam family "Archaeal small subunit ribosomal RNA", at positions 723 to 1267 of the family's 1478-position model. The record is from RNAcentral.